RNAcentral lists this ribosomal RNA (598 nucleotides) under Salmonella enterica subsp. enterica serovar Infantis. RNAcentral's name for it is "partial 23S ribosomal RNA". It matches the Rfam family "Bacterial large subunit ribosomal RNA", at positions 711 to 1229 of the family's 2925-position model. Lineage: Bacteria; Pseudomonadati; Pseudomonadota; Gammaproteobacteria; Enterobacterales; Enterobacteriaceae. The record is from RNAcentral. RNAcentral also lists the same sequence under 2 other names.
AGACCCGAAACCCGGUGAUCUAGCCAUGGGCAGGUUGAAGGUUGGGUAACACUAACUGGAGGACCGAACCGACUAAUGUUGAAAAAUUAGCGGAUGACCUGUGGCUGGGGGUGAAAGGCCAAUCAAACCGGGAGAUAGCUGGUUCUCCCCGAAAGCUAUUUAGGUAGCGCCUCGUGAAUUCAUCUCCGGGGGUAGAGCACUGUUUCGGCUAGGGGGCCAUCCCGGCUUACCAACCCGAUGCAAACUGCGAAUACCGGAGAAUGUUAUCACGGGAGACACACGGCGGGUGCUAACGUCCGUCGUGAAGAGGGAAACAACCCAGACCGCCAGCUAAGGUCCCAAAGUCAUGGUUAAGUGGGAAACGAUGUGGGAAGGCCCAGACAGCCAGGAUGUUGGCUUAGAAGCAGCCAUCAUUUAAAGAAAGCGUAAUAGCUCACUGGUCGAGUCGGCCUGCGCGGAAGAUGUAACGGGGCUAAACCAUGCACCGAAGCUGCGGCAGCGAACGUAUCACUUAAAGCGAUUCAGCGGGUUACGAUUGACGGAGCGAAGCGACGUCAAAGCGUAUACAAAGUCGAGUCGGUUUAAGGAUACGUUCGUU